GAUGAACGCUGGCGGCGCGCCUAACACAUGCAAGUCGAACGGCACCCCUCCUCGGAGGGAAGCGAGUGGCGAACGGCUGAGUAACACGUGGAGAACCUGCCCCCUCCCCCGGGAUAGCCGCCCGAAAGGACGGGUAAUACCGGAUACCCCGGGGUGCCGCAUGGCACCCCGGCUAAAGCCCCGACGGGAGGGGAUGGCUCCGCGGCCCAUCAGGUAGACGGCGGGGUGACGGCCCACCGUGCCGACAACGGGUAGCCGGGUUGAGAGACCGACCGGCCAGAUUGGGACUGAGACACGGCCCAGACUCCUACGGGAGGCAGCAGUGGGGAAUCUUGCGCAAUGGGGGGAACCCUGACGCAGCGACGCCGCGUGCGGGACGGAGGCCUUCGGGUCGUAAACCGCUUUCAGCGGGGAAGAGUCAAGACUGUACCUGCAGAAGAAGCCCCGGCUAACUACGUG
This 459-nucleotide ribosomal RNA is filed under the name uncultured bacterium. Its description in RNAcentral is "partial 16S ribosomal RNA". It matches the Rfam family "Bacterial small subunit ribosomal RNA", at positions 28 to 507 of the family's 1533-position model. The record is from RNAcentral.